UAAAGUGGCGACCGGGUGAGUAACACGUGACUAACCUACCUUCGAUGGGGGAUAACCUAGGGAAACCUGGGCUAAUACCGCAUAACAUCUUUGGAGUGGAAAUUCCGCAGAUCAAAGGAGCAAUUCGCUGGAAGAGGGGGUCGCGGCUGAUUAGUUAGUUGGCGGGGUAAUGGCCCACCAAGGCGAAGAUCGGUAUCCGGCCUGAGAGGGCGCACGGACACACUGGAACUGAAACACGGUCCAG
RNAcentral lists this ribosomal RNA (244 nucleotides) under uncultured bacterium. Its description in RNAcentral is "partial 16S ribosomal RNA". It matches the Rfam family "Bacterial small subunit ribosomal RNA", at positions 91 to 334 of the family's 1533-position model. The record is from RNAcentral.